Molecule: long non-coding RNA, 316 nt
Organism: Rhincodon typus (whale shark)
Lineage: Eukaryota; Metazoa; Chordata; Chondrichthyes; Orectolobiformes; Rhincodontidae
Exons: 3
Source: RefSeq, a predicted model, not a curated record
CUCCCCGCCGGGGGUGGCGCUCUCUGCGGAGGACCGGGUCCUGCCCGCUUGUUGUUGGAGUUGAAGAGGUUUGGUUUGGGUGUGUCAGUUUGUGAUCGCAGGGAGAGGAGAAGGAGCUGGGUGUCUUUGGGAAGUGUGGCCGCAGGAGCAGCUGGUGGAGCAAAGGAUCCUUUGUGACUCUGCAACUUCAACAUGUCGUUCGAAACGUGUGGUCCCAAUGAGGCCAUGGUUGUUUCAGGGUUCUGCCGAUCCCCGCCGGUGAUGAUCGCUGGAGGGCGUGUUUUUGUUUUGCCAUGCGUGCAGCAGAUUGAGAGGU